Molecule: non-coding RNA, 1456 nt
Organism: Zonotrichia albicollis (white-throated sparrow)
Lineage: Eukaryota; Metazoa; Chordata; Aves; Passeriformes; Passerellidae
Source: RefSeq, a predicted model, not a curated record
AAACAUCAGGAGAAGAACACAGGUUUAGCUUUUCCAUUGGAAGUAACUCCUCACAAAGGGAGACAGGCAUGGCCAAGGAUCAGCCCAAGGCACAGCCUUAACCCUUGCAGUGCCUGGGUUGUGCCUGACAAAAUCCCCUUGUCCCAAGCACUGGGAAGGGCUGGGCAAUUGGAAUAAUGAACAUUAAACAGUUGAGGACUUGCUGGGUGCUGUGCUGCUGUCCUGAAUUCCCAUAAAGACACGGGCAGCUUCCCAUGAGGGCUCAUAUCAGCACAACAGGGGAGUUUGGCAGGGAUUUUAGGCCAGGCUGAUGCUAACUAUGAGCAGAUGAGGUGUCUGUGUGUAUAUAUGUGGAUGUGAAGGUGUUCCUCACAGGCUCUAAACCCCCUCAAAGCACCCAAAGUUUCCCCUGACGCUCCAGAGUGCUCCUCUCCCCUCAUGGUUUGUGGGUGUGGGGCUGGAGGGGAGAGCCUGCUCCUCCUGUGCCCCCAGGACCCCAAAACACAACCAAAGAGGCAUUUUCCCUUUGCCUUGAAAGCUGAGGGAGUCAAAUCCGGCAGAGGCAGGCUCAGGUCUCUGGCUCACAAAUUCUUGGUCCAAGUGGUCCAGACUUCAGCAGCACAGAGCUGGGGCAGCCCCAGCCCUGGCUCUGGGUUUCUCUGUGUUGGUGCAUGAGAGGAGAUCUCCAGGGAGAGGCUGCACCUCUGAGCUCCUGGGGCACAGCUCCUCUCUUUGUUCCCCCUCACAUCCCCAUCCCAACCCUCUGCAAACCUCAGGCACCAAUCCUGCUACAAUUCCUUUAUAAUUCUCUUUUUUUUUUUUCCCCCUAUAGAAACACAAGGGACAACCGCAAUAAUUUCCAAGAAGGAAAGGCUUCCCUCUGGAGAAGCCAAGAGGGACCUGCAGCAGAGUCCUGGAAUGUCACCCUGAGCCUACUGCUGAACAUUGGGAAAGGAAUGAUCAGUUGAUGGGCUGGGUUGGGAGGCAUUAUCCAAAGGAAAAAUGGGAAUAAUUUGGUGACUUCAGUUUGUGCCUCAUGAGAAGGGAGUCACUGAGAGCCAUGGGAGAGGAGACAACCCCAGCACUGGGGAUUUAUCUCCUCGUGAGGCUGGAGGAUCUCCCCAGCACAGAGACUGGAGCGGCCGGGGAUGGAUGGACGGAUGGAUGGAUGGAUGGAUGGAGCUGCAGGGAGGCAGAGCCGCCGGGAGGGAGCGGCUGAGAGGGGGAGAGAAAGAAGAGCAAACACAGGUCCAUUAAUCCGCAGUUAGUCUGCCUUUUUUGUUAGGAAGAUGAACUUGAUGAGUUAAUUAAGCCACAGCCUGUAAAACCAGUUUAUUUGCAUAGCAAACUCCUGGGCCAGUGUGCUGUGAGCGGGCAUAGACGUGCAGACAAUUCCGGGGAAAUUACAGCCUCAUUAAUAUGCUAAUCUGGUUGCAGGCCUGGAACGAGUUUUGGG